GAUGAACGCUAGCGGCAGGCCUAAUACAUGCAAGCCGAACGGCAAGCUUUGUAGCAAUACAGAGCCUAGAGUGGCGUAAGGGUGCGUAACACGUAUGGAAUCUGCCCUCAACAGGAGGAUAGCUCCCCGAAAGGGGAAUUAACACUCCAUAGGAUAUAGGUGUGGCAUCACAUUUAUAUUAAACCGCAAGGGGUUGAGGAUGAGCAUGCGCAUGAUUAGUUAGUUGGCGGGGUAACGGCCACCAAGACGAUGAUCAUUAGGGGAACUGAGAGGUUGA
This 277-nucleotide ribosomal RNA is filed under the name uncultured bacterium. Its description in RNAcentral is "partial 16S ribosomal RNA". It matches the Rfam family "Bacterial small subunit ribosomal RNA", at positions 28 to 303 of the family's 1533-position model. The record is from RNAcentral.